RNAcentral lists this ribosomal RNA (465 nucleotides) under Vreelandella stevensii. RNAcentral's name for it is "partial 16S ribosomal RNA". It matches the Rfam family "Bacterial small subunit ribosomal RNA", at positions 338 to 795 of the family's 1533-position model. Lineage: Bacteria; Pseudomonadati; Pseudomonadota; Gammaproteobacteria; Oceanospirillales; Halomonadaceae. The record is from RNAcentral.
CCUACGGGGGGCAGCAGUGGGGAAUAUUGGACAAUGGGGGGAACCCUGAUCCAGCCAUGCCGCGUGUGUGAAGAAGGCCCUCGGGUUGUAAAGCACUUUCAGUGAGGAAGAACGCCUGGUGGUUAAUACCCAUCAGUAAAGACAUCACUCACAGAAGAAGCACCGGCUAACUCCGUGCCAGCAGCCGCGGUAAUACGGAGGGUGCGAGCGUUAAUCGGAAUUACUGGGCGUAAAGCGCGCGUAGGUGGCUUGAUAAGCCGGUUGUGAAAGCCCCGGGCUCAACCUGGGAACGGCAUCCGGAACUGUCAAGCUAGAGUGCAGGAGAGGAAGGUAGAAUUCCCGGUGUAGCGGUGAAAUGCGUAGAGAUCGGGAGGAAUACCAGUGGCGAAGGCGGCCUUCUGGACUGAAACUGACACUGAGGUGCGAAAGCGUGGGUAGCAAACAGGAUUAGAUACCCUAGUAGUC